GAUGAACGCUGGCGGCGUGCCUAAUACAUGCAAGUCGAGCGAACGGACGAGAAGCUUGCUUUUCUGAUGUUAGCGGCGGACGGGUGAGUAACACGUGGAUAACCUACCUAUAAGACUGGGAUAACUUCGGGAAACCGGAGCUAAUACCGGAUAAUAUUUUGAACCGCAUGGUUCAAAAGUGAAAGACGGUCUUGCUGUCACUUAUAGAUGGAUCCGCGCUGCAUUAGCUAGUUGGUAAGGUAACGGCUUACCAAGGCAACGAUGCAUAGCCGACCUGAGAGGGUGAUCGGCCACACUGGAACUGAGACACGGUCCAGACUCCUACGGGAGGCAGCAGUAGGGAAUCUUCCGCAAUGGGCGAAAGCCUGACGGAGCAACGCCGCGUGAGUGAUGAAGGUCUUCGGAUCGUAAAACUCUGUUAUUAGGGAAGAACAUAUGUGUAAGUAACUGUGCACAUCUUGACGGUACCUAAUCAGAAAGCCACGGCUAACUACGUGCCAGCAGCCGCGGUAAUACGUAGGUGGCAAGCGUUAUCCGGAAUUAUUGGGCGUAAAGCGCGCGUAGGCGGUUUUUUAAGUCUGAUGUGAAAGCCCACGGCUCAACCGUGGAGGGUCAUUGGAAACUGGAAAACUUGAGUGCAGAAGAGGAAAGUGGAAUUCCAUGUGUAGCGGUGAAAUGCGCAGAGAUGUGGAGGAACACCAGUGGCGAAGGCGACUUUCUGGUCUGUAACUGACGCUGAUGUGCGAAAGCGUGGGGAUCAAACAGGAUUAGAUACCCUGGUAGUCCACGCCGUAAACGAUGAGUGCUAAGUGUUAGGGGGUUUCCGCCCCUUAGUGCUGCAGCUAACGCAUUAAGCACUCCGCCUGGGGAGUACGACCGCAAGGUUGAAACUCAAAGGAAUUGACGGGGGCCCGCACAAGCGGUGGAGCAUGUGGUUUAAUUCGAAGCAACGCGAAGAACCUUACCAAAUCUUGACAUCCUUUGACAACUCUAGAGAUAGAGCCUUCCCCUUCGGGGGACAAAGUGACAGGUGGUGCAUGGUUGUCGUCAGCUCGUGUCGUGAGAUGUUGGGUUAAGUCCCGCAACGAGCGCAACCCUUAAGCUUAGUUGCCAUCAUUAAGUUGGGCACUCUAAGUUGACUGCCGGUGGCAAACCGGAGGAAGGUGGGGAUGACGUCAAAUCAUCAUGCCCCUUAUGAUUUGGGCUACACACGUGCUACAAUGGACAAUACAAAGGGCAGCGAAACCGCGAGGUCAAGCAAAUCCCAUAAAGUUGUUCUCAGUUCGGAUUGUAGUCUGCAACUCGACUACAUGAAGCUGGAAUCGCUAGUAAUCGUAGAUCAGCAUGCUACGGUGAAUACGUUCCCGGGUCU
This 1372-nucleotide ribosomal RNA is filed under the name uncultured bacterium. RNAcentral's name for it is "bacterial SSU rRNA". It matches the Rfam family "Bacterial small subunit ribosomal RNA", at positions 28 to 1381 of the family's 1533-position model. The record is from RNAcentral.